UGGCUCAGUUGGUAGAGCAUGGUGUGUGCAACGCCAGGAUUGUGGGUUUGAUUCCCAC
Non-coding RNA from Salmo salar (Atlantic salmon), 58 nucleotides. The record is from Rfam. NCBI's taxonomy places the organism in Eukaryota, Metazoa, Chordata, Actinopteri, Salmoniformes, Salmonidae.